UUCUGAAUACUGCGGAAUUAUACUCGCUUACAGUUUUAAAAUCCUGCAGUCGUAGGUGAAUCCAUUCGUAGUGGGCUUUUGGAAGGAUCGUAUAUUUCUGAUGAUCAUAUCUCUCUUUCAAAUUUGUCCAAAGGACAUAUGGAUCUUUCACUGUAAGAUAUUCGGCUUUCAAGCUUUCAUGGAGAUGGUGGCGAAGGAAGAUCAUUGCUUUGGCGCGAUCCU
This 222-nucleotide long non-coding RNA is filed under the name Phoenix dactylifera (date palm). Its description in RNAcentral is "long non-coding RNA (PDAC_LNC007825)". Lineage: Eukaryota; Viridiplantae; Streptophyta; Magnoliopsida; Arecales; Arecaceae. The record is from RNAcentral.